Oncorhynchus keta (chum salmon) is the source of this 1044-nucleotide long non-coding RNA. RefSeq lists it as uncharacterized. The record is from RefSeq and is a predicted model, not a curated record. The transcript has 2 exons. Lineage: Eukaryota; Metazoa; Chordata; Actinopteri; Salmoniformes; Salmonidae.
UCUCUCUCUCUCUCUCUCUCUCUCUCUCUCUCUCUCUCUCUCUCUCUCUCUCUCUCUCAAGGACAUCGUGGUCAAGAAGGCACGACAGCGAUUCACUCUUCAACCUCAGGAUGCUGACGAAAUUCGGCCUUUCCCAGAGGGCCCUCACAGCAUCACAGCCUGGUAGAGCAACUCCACAGCCGCUGACCACAAAGACACUACAGACGGUGGUACAGUGCAUUCGGAAAAUGACAUUUAAUUGCAGGGGAAUUCUACCACUGAAGAUCCUGUUUGACCCUGGGCAUGAUAUCGUACAUCAGAAGGAACAGAGGCAUGCCAACUGACAUUCAAAUCCUGCCAAACCUGAUGGGUAUUUUCAGUAUCUCGACUGAAUUAUGACACCUAAGACAAAUGAAAAACUGAAUCUCCACUUCAGGCCUCUCCUACAGAAAGCAAUAUGGUGUUUUUGUAUGUUGUGUUGUACAGUAUGUUAUGUUUGUUAUAUAUACCAUGUCAUCUGCAGGUUUCCAUCUUUUCAUGGAUCCCAGGACUUCUGGAAAAGAGUGGUGAUUUUAUACUAUCCUGAUUUAAAAAGGCCUGCCCUGGGCCAAUACAUAAACACCCAAUAGUGAAUUCACUAUGCCUCUCAUGGCUCUUCGGACAGACACACCUACACAUACAGAUACAGAUAAACAUCUCAUUUGUGAUGUGGUGAAUAAGAAGAUGUCGGUGUAGAUAAAUGUUUCCUUUUUACGCCAAUUUCCUGCAAUUCUACAAUUUUCUCCAUGGAGCUGAGAGCAAUGUUUGCAGUUUUGAAGCUAAUUUCCUGCAAUUCUAUACAUUUUACCAUGGAUAACGCUGUGUUCUUAAGUAUAAAAAAUGAUAACAAAAUCAAUACUGCAAAAUGCAUUGUUUUGGGAAUUUUCAAUUCUCCCUGACUGUCUAGCUUUGUGGGGGUUUUAAUUUAUUUUAGUUCUCAAAGAUUAUAAAAAAUAUAUAUAGGUCUAUUAUCUUUUCUACAUAAUUUAUAUCUGUUUUUAAUCAUUAAAGUUUACACAGAAAGCA